CAGUAGCCACGGUAAUACGUAGGGUGCAAGCGUUAAUCGGAAUUACUAGGCGUAAAGCGUGCGCAGGCGGUUUGUUAAGACAGAUGUGAAAUCCCCGGGCUCAACCUGGGAACUGCAUUUGUGACUGGCAAGCUAGAGUCUGGCAGAGGGGGGUGGAAUUCCGCGUGUAGCAGUGAAAUGCGUAGAUAUGCGGAGGAACACCGAUGGCGAAGGCAGCCCCCUGGGCCAACACUGACGCUCAUGCACGAAAGCGUGGGGAGCAAACAGGAUUAGAUACCCGCGUAGUCCCUGUCUCUUAUAC
RNAcentral lists this ribosomal RNA (301 nucleotides) under uncultured bacterium. Its description in RNAcentral is "partial 16S ribosomal RNA". It matches the Rfam family "Bacterial small subunit ribosomal RNA", at positions 509 to 807 of the family's 1533-position model. The record is from RNAcentral.